GUGUCAGCAGCCGCGGUAAUACGGAGGGUGCGAGCGUUGCUCGGAAUCACUGGGCGUAAAGCGUACGCAGGCUGUUUCGUAAGUCGGGUGUGAAAGCCCGGGGCUCAACCCCGGAAUUGCGCCCGAGACUGCGGAGCUUGAAUGCGGGAGAGGGAAGCGGAAUUCCUGGUGUAGAGGUGAAAUUCGUAGAUAUCAGGAGGAACACCGGUGGCGAAAGCGGCUUCCUGGCCCGACAUUGACGCUCAUGUACGAGAGCGUGGGGAGCAAACAGGAUUAGAUACCCCUGUAGUCC
This 292-nucleotide ribosomal RNA is filed under the name uncultured bacterium. RNAcentral describes it as "partial 16S ribosomal RNA". It matches the Rfam family "Bacterial small subunit ribosomal RNA", at positions 505 to 796 of the family's 1533-position model. The record is from RNAcentral.